AGUGGGGAAUCUUGGACAAUGGGCGCAAGCCUGAUCCAGCCAUGCCGCGUGAGUGACGAAGGCCUUAGGGUUGUAAAGCUCUUUUGCCGGGGACGAUAAUGACGGUACCCGGAGAAUAAGUCCCGGCUAACUUCGUGCCAGCAGCCGCGGUAAUACGAAGGGGACUAGCGUUGUUCGGAAUUACUGGGCGUAAAGCGCACGUAGGCGGAUUUGUCAGUCAGGGGUGAAAUCCCGGGGCUCAACCUCGGAACUGCCUUUGAUACAGCAAGUCUCGAGUCCGAUAGAGGUGGGUGGAAUUCCUAGUGUAGAGGUGAAAUUCGUAGAUAUUAGGAAGAACACCGGUGGCGAAGGCGGCCCACUGGAUCGGUACUGACGCUGAGGUGCGAAAGCGUGGGGAGCAAA
RNAcentral lists this ribosomal RNA (402 nucleotides) under uncultured Pedomicrobium sp. RNAcentral's name for it is "bacterial SSU rRNA". It matches the Rfam family "Bacterial small subunit ribosomal RNA", at positions 353 to 772 of the family's 1533-position model. Lineage: Bacteria; Pseudomonadati; Pseudomonadota; Alphaproteobacteria; Hyphomicrobiales; Hyphomicrobiaceae. The record is from RNAcentral.